This is a long non-coding RNA of Peromyscus eremicus (cactus mouse), 633 nucleotides long. RefSeq lists it as uncharacterized. The record is from RefSeq and is a predicted model, not a curated record. Lineage: Eukaryota; Metazoa; Chordata; Mammalia; Rodentia; Cricetidae. The transcript has 3 exons.
UUAUCAUUGUCACAGAGAUUCUAGGUCGAACUUGGAUGCCCAUGCUGAAAUGUUCACCAUUGAAUAUUCUUCUCCAAGUGCAUGAGAUGAUCCUACAACAAACAUUUCAAAGUCAUGUUCGCAUGAAAAUUGACUCAAAUUAAGCCGAAGUUUAAGGUGUGGUGACAAGAAUAUUUAAAAUUCUAUAUGUGGCUUGCAUCAUAUUUGGACAGCAGGUCUGUGAGCUAUGUGUGGGCAGUGCUUGAACAGUCCAGAAGAGGGCAUUAAAUCAUCUCUAACUGAAGUUACAGACAGUUGUGAGCUGCCAUGUGGAUGCUGGGAAUCAAACUCCUCCUUUGGAGGAGUAGCCAGUGCUCUUAAUUGCUGAUCCAUCUCUCCAGCUUCAUGUAUAGUCUUUUGCAUGAUAUUUCUUAAGAAAGGAAGUCAUCUUCCUCUAAUUGUCCUAUGACUUGUAGUGGGCAAAGGUUGAUGCAAUGACAUGCCAUCUCACCAACUCAGUAAUUAAAUCAAAUUCAAGCACUCAGACAUGAAGAUACAUGGAUAUUAUUCUGACCUUCAGUGUAGUACCAAGUUUUGGUAAGUAGAACACUCGAUUUCUCUCCUUUCUAACUAAAAGACUGUUUUAGAAUAUUA